RNAcentral lists this ribosomal RNA (1346 nucleotides) under uncultured bacterium. RNAcentral's name for it is "bacterial SSU rRNA". It matches the Rfam family "Bacterial small subunit ribosomal RNA", at positions 28 to 1381 of the family's 1533-position model. The record is from RNAcentral.
GACGAACGCUUUCGGCGUGCUUAACACAUGCAAGUCGAACGGAAAGGCCCUGCUUUUGUGGGGUGCUCGAGUGGCGAACGGGUGAGUAACACGUGAGUAACCUGCCCUUGACUUUGGGAUAACUUCAGGAAACUGGGGCUAAUACCGGAUAGGAGCUCCUGCUGCAUGGUGGGGGUUGGAAAGUUUCGGCGGUUGGGGAUGGACUCGCGGCUUAUCAGCUUGUUGGUGGGGUAGUGGCUUACCAAGGCUUUGACGGGUAGCCGGCCUGAGAGGGUGACCGGCCACAUUGGGACUGAGAUACGGCCCAGACUCCUACGGGAGGCAGCAGUGGGGAAUAUUGCACAAUGGGCGGAAGCCUGAUGCAGCAACGCCGCGUGCGGGAUGACGGCCUUCGGGUUGUAAACCGCUUUCGCCUGUGACGAAGCGUGAGUGACGGUAAUGGGUAAAGAAGCACCGGCUAACUACGUGCCAGCAGCCGCGGUGAUACGUAGGGUGCGAGCGUUGUCCGGAUUUAUUGGGCGUAAAGGGCUCGUAGGUGGUUGAUCGCGUCGGAAGUGUAAUCUUGGGGCUUAACCCUGAGCGUGCUUUCGAUACGGGUUGACUUGAGGAAGGUAGGGGAGAAUGGAAUUCCUGGUGGAGCGGUGGAAUGCGCAGAUAUCAGGAGGAACACCAGUGGCGAAGGCGGUUCUCUGGGCCUUUCCUGACGCUGAGGAGCGAAAGCGUGGGGAGCGAACAGGCUUAGAUACCCUGGUAGUCCACGCUGUAAACGGUGGGUACUAGGUGUGGGGUCCAUUCCACGGGUUCCGUGCCGUAGCUAACGCUUUAAGUACCCCGCCUGGGGAGUACGGCCGCAAGGCUAAAACUCAAAGGAAUUGACGGGGCCCCGCACAAGCGGCGGAGCAUGCGGAUUAAUUCGAUGCAACGCGUAGAACCUUACCUGGGUUUGACAUGGAUCGGGAGUGCUCAGAGAUGGGUGUGCCUCUUUUGGGGUCGGUUCACAGGUGGUGCAUGCCUGUCGUCAGCUCGUGUCGUGAGAUGUUGGGUUAAGUCCCGCAACGAGCGCAACCCUUGUUCACUGUUGCCAGCACGUUAUGGUGGGGACUCAGUGGAGACCGCCGGGGUCAACUCGGAGGAAGGUGGGGAUGACGUCAAGUCCUCAUGCCCCUUAUGUCCAGGGCUUCACGCAUGCUACAAUGGCUGGUACAGAGAGUGGCGAGCCUGUGAGGGUGAGCGAAUCUCGGAAAGCCGGUCUCAGUUCGGAUUGGGGCCUGCAACUCGACCUCAUGAAGUCGGAGUCGCUAGUAAUCGCAGAUCAGCAACGCUGCGGUGAAUACGUUCCCGGGGCU